RNAcentral lists this ribosomal RNA (446 nucleotides) under uncultured bacterium. RNAcentral describes it as "partial 16S ribosomal RNA". It matches the Rfam family "Bacterial small subunit ribosomal RNA", at positions 338 to 795 of the family's 1533-position model. The record is from RNAcentral.
CCUACGGGUGGCAGCAGUCGAGAAUCAUUCACAAUGGGGGCAACCCUGAUGGUGCGACGCCGCGUGGGGGAAUGAAGGUCUUCGGAUUGUAAACCCCUGUCAUGUGGGAGCAAAUUAAAAAGAUCGUACCACAAGAGGAAGAGACGGCUAACUCUGUGCCAGCAGCCGCGGUAAUACAGAGGUCUCAAGCGUUGUUCGGAAUCACUGGGCGUAAAGCGUGCGUAGGCUGUUUCGUAAGUCGUGUGUGAAAGGCGCGGGCUCAACCCGCGGACGGCACAUGAUACUGCGAGACUAGAGUGAUGGAGGGGGAACCGGAAGUCGCGGUGUAGCAGUGAAAUGCGUAGAUAUCGGGAGGAACACUCGGGGCGAAGGCGGGUUCCUGGACAUUAACUGACGCUGAGGCACGAAGGCCAGGGGAGCGAAAGGGAUUAGAUACCCCUGUAGUC